This 560-nucleotide small RNA is filed under the name Pongo abelii (Sumatran orangutan). RNAcentral's name for it is "sense intronic". Lineage: Eukaryota; Metazoa; Chordata; Mammalia; Primates; Hominidae. The record is from RNAcentral.
CUGUAUGCAUGAAGGGAAAAGAGAUGAAUAUCAAGUUUUUCUGGCCAACCAAGAAAUAAAACCUUAAAAGUGUUUAUUCUUCCUGGAAAAAAAAUCACAGAUACUACUUAAAUAUUAUUACCAGGACAACAAAUUAGCAAAUAAGGCAACCAGUUAGAAAGCAGCAUUUUCAAGGUUAAAGGUUGCAUUUUAAAGCUUUUAGCCAUGACUUCUGAAGGGAUCGCACAAACAUCUUAAAAGACUUCUUUGUUAAUCAGAAAACAGUUUACAUGCAAAUUUCCACACUGGAGAGCCGACCAAGAUCAAUACUUUCAUGAUUAUUCCCAACUUACUGCUUUAUCAGAAAGAACUUUACUACAAAGCAAGAAGUGUCUACUCUUCUGUGAAGGAGUAAGUUUUGUCCUUGUUUCUGAAAUUCUUUAUUCUAGCUGAAUUCUCAAGACUGAGCAGUGAACUUCCAUUGGUUAGCACCAAAUAGAGCAAGCCUGAGUAAGCUGCUUACAAAAAGGGGAAAAAACGACAGAAGAAAACUUUUAAUAAAUGGAAUAUAAGGCACAUAA